AGUCGAGGGGCAGCAUUUUAGUUUGCUUGCAAACUAAAGAUGGCGACCGGCGCACGGGUGAGUAACACGUAUCCAACCUGCCGAUAACUCAGGGAUAGCCUUUCGAAAGAAAGAUUAAUACCUGAUGGCAUAGGAUUAUCGCAUGAUAAUCCUAUUAAAGAAUUUCGGUUAUCGAUGGGGAUGCGUUCCAUUAGGCAGUUGGUGAGGUAACGGCUCACCAAACCUUCGAUGGAUAGGGGUUCUGAGAGGAAGGUCCCCCACAUUGGAACUGAGACACGGUCCAAACUCCUACGGGAGGCAGCAGUGAGGAAUAUUGGUCAAUGGACGGGAGUCUGAACCAGCCAAGUAGCGUGAAGGAUGACUGCCCUAUGGGUUGUAAACUUCUUUUAUACGGGAAUAAAGUGAUCCACGUGUGGGUUUUUGUAUGUACCGUAUGAAUAAGGAUCGGCUAACUCCGUGCCAGCAGCCGCGGUAAUACGGAGGAUCCGAGCGUUAUCCGGAUUUAUUGGGUUUAAAGGGAGCGUAGAUGGAUGUUUAAGUCAGUUGUGAAAGUUUGCGGCUCAACCGUAAAAUUGCAGUUGAUACUGGAUAUCUUGAGUGCAGUUGAGGCAGGCGGAAUUCGUGGUGUAGCGGUGAAAUGCUUAGAUAUCACGAAGAACUCCGAUUGCGAAGGCAGCCUGCUAAGCUGCAACUGACAUUGAGGCUCGAAAGUGUGGGUAUCAAACAGGAUUAGAUACCCUGGUAGUCCACACGGUAAACGAUGAAUACUCGCUGUUUGCGAUAUACU
Molecule: ribosomal RNA, 787 nt
Filed under: uncultured bacterium
Lineage: Bacteria
Description: bacterial SSU rRNA
Rfam family: Bacterial small subunit ribosomal RNA
Source: RNAcentral